GCUCAGAACGAACGCUGGCGGCGUGCUUAACACAUGCAAGUCGAACGAACCUUCGGGUUAGUGGCGGACGGGUGAGUAACGCGUGAGAAUCUGCCCUCAGGAGGGGGAUAACGGUUGGAAACGACCGCUAAUACCCCAUAUGCCGAGAGGUGAAAAGAAAUUCGCCUGAGGAUGAGCUCGCGUCUGAUUAGCUAGUUUAUCUCGUAAUGGCGCGGGCAGGAAUUCGAUCAGUAGCUGGUCUGAGAGGAUGAUCANCCAC
RNAcentral lists this ribosomal RNA (259 nucleotides) under uncultured bacterium. RNAcentral's name for it is "partial 16S ribosomal RNA". It matches the Rfam family "Bacterial small subunit ribosomal RNA", at positions 22 to 311 of the family's 1533-position model. The record is from RNAcentral.